Molecule: ribosomal RNA, 408 nt
Filed under: uncultured bacterium
Lineage: Bacteria
Description: partial 16S ribosomal RNA
Rfam family: Bacterial small subunit ribosomal RNA
Source: RNAcentral
GACGAACGCUGGCGGCGUGCCUAAUACAUGCAAGUGAAGUUCAGUGGCGGACGGGUGAGUAACACGUGGGUAACCUACCCAUCAGAGGGGGAUAACACUUGGAAACAGGGUCUAAUACCGAAUAAAGGGGGAUGGGCUCGCGGCCUAUCAGCUUGUUGGUGGGGUGAUGGCCUACCAAGGCGGUGACGGGUAGCCGGCCUGAGAGGGGGAACCGCGACAGUGGGACUGAGAGACGGCCCAGACGCGUACGGGGGGGAGCAGUGGGGGAUAUUGCACAAUGGGCGAAAGACUGAUGCAGCGACGCCGCGUGGGGGAUGAAGGCUGUCGGGUUGUAAACCUAUUUCGCUAUCGAACGGGUAGGUGGAGAAGAAGCGCCGGCUAACUACGUGCCAGCAGCCGCGGUAAUUC